This 747-nucleotide ribosomal RNA is filed under the name Triticum aestivum (bread wheat). RNAcentral describes it as "partial small subunit ribosomal RNA". The record is from RNAcentral. Lineage: Eukaryota; Viridiplantae; Streptophyta; Magnoliopsida; Poales; Poaceae.
AUGCCUGCCUCCAUCGCCUUCGGUCGGUUCGAUGACUCCUUCAGCUUGGCCUCUUUCAAGGCCUACAUCGCCGAGUUCAUCUCCACCCUCAUCUUCGUCUUCGCCGGCGUCGGCUCUGCCAUCGCCUACUCCAAGGUGAGCGGCGGCGCGCCGCUUGACCCAUCCGGGCUGAUCGCCGUGGCGAUCUGCCACGGGUUCGGGCUGUUCGUCGCGGUCGCCGUCGGCGCCAACAUCUCCGGCGGCCAUGUGAACCCUGCCGUCACCUUCGGCCUCGCCCUCGGCGGCCAGAUCACCAUCCUCACCGGCAUCUUCUACUGGGUUGCCCAGCUCCUCGGCGCCAUCGUCGGCGCCUUCCUCGUCCAGUUCUGCACCGGCGUGGCGACCCCUACACACGGGCUUUCCGGCGUGGGCGCCUUCGAGGGCGUCGUGAUGGAGAUCAUCGUCACCUUCGGGCUCGUCUACACCGUGUACGCCACCGCCGCCGACCCCAAGAAGGGGUCCCUCGGCACCAUCGCUCCAAUCGCCAUCGGCUUCAUCGUCGGCGCCAACAUCCUCGUCGCCGGCCCCUUCUCCGGCGGGUCCAUGAACCCUGCACGCUCCUUCGGCCCCGCCGUUGCCAGCGGCGACUUCACCAACAUCUGGAUCUACUGGGCCGGCCCGCUCAUCGGCGGUGGCCUCGCCGGCGUCGUCUACCGGUACCUGUACAUGUGCGACGACCACACCGCCGUCGCCGGCAACGACUACUAA